GUGCUCUCUUUGGCAGCACAUAUACUAAAAAUGUAUGGAUGCUACUGAGAUUUGCAUGGACCCUGUGCAAGGAUGACAAGUAACUCUAUAAAGUACUCCACAGAUUU
This is a small nuclear RNA of Sorex fumeus (smoky shrew), 107 nucleotides long. Lineage: Eukaryota; Metazoa; Chordata; Mammalia; Eulipotyphla; Soricidae. The record is from RefSeq and is a predicted model, not a curated record.